RNAcentral lists this ribosomal RNA (253 nucleotides) under uncultured bacterium. Its description in RNAcentral is "partial 16S ribosomal RNA". It matches the Rfam family "Bacterial small subunit ribosomal RNA", at positions 524 to 776 of the family's 1533-position model. The record is from RNAcentral.
UACGUAGGAGGCGAGCGUUGUUCGGAAUUACUGGGCGUAAAGGGCUCGUAGGCGGCCAACUAAGUCAGACGUGAAAUCCCUCGGCUUAACCGGGGAACUGCGUCUGAUACUGGAUGGCUUGAGUUUGGGAGAGGGAUGCGGAAUUCCAGGUGUAGCGGUGAAAUGCGUAGAUAUCUGGAGGAACACCGGUGGCGAAGGCGGCAUCCUGGACCAACACUGACACUGAGGAGCGAAAGCCAGGGGAGCAAACGGG